UGGCGGCAUGCCUAACACAUGCAAGUCGAACGGUAACGGACCGCUGGGAUUCCUUCGGGAUGACCUUGGUGCCGACGAGUGGCGGACGGGUGAGUAAUACUUAGGAAUCUGCCCAGUAUGGGGGACAACAUUCGGAAACGGAUGCUAAUACCGCAUACGCACUACGGUGGAAAGUGGGGGAUCUUCGGACCUCACGCUAUUGGAUGAGCCUAAGUCGGAUUAGCUUGUUGGUGAGGUAAUGGCUCACCAAGGCGACGAUCCGUAGCUGGUCUGAGAGGACGAUCAGCCACACUGGGACUGAGACACGGCCCAGACUCCUACGGGAGGCAGCAGUGGGGAAUAUUGGACAAUGGGCGCAAGCCUGAUCCAGCAAUGCCGCGUGUGUGAAGAAGGCCUGCGGGUUGUAAAGCACUUUCAGUAGAGAAGAAAAGCCUAGGGUUAAUACCCCUGAGUCUUGACGUAACCUACAGAAGAAGCACCGGCUAACUCCGUG
Molecule: ribosomal RNA, 493 nt
Filed under: uncultured bacterium
Lineage: Bacteria
Description: bacterial SSU rRNA
Rfam family: Bacterial small subunit ribosomal RNA
Source: RNAcentral